CCUACGGGAGGCAGCAGUGGGGAAUUUUGGACAAUGGGCGAAAGCCUGAUCCAGCAAUGCCGCGUGUGGGAAGAAGGCCUUCGGGUUGUAAACCACUUUUGUACGGAACGAAACGGUUCGCUUUAAUACAGUGGGCUAAUGACGGUACCGUAAGAAUAAGCACCGGCUAACUACGUGCCAGCAGCCGCGGUAAUACGUAGGGUGCGAGCGUUAAUCGGAAUUACUGGGCGUAAAGCGUGCGCAGGCGGUUAUAUAAGACAGUUGUGAAAUCCCCGGGCUCAACCUGGGAAUUGCAUCUGUGACUGUAUAGCUAGAGUACGGUAGAGGGGGAUGGAAUUCCGCGUGUAGCAGUGAAAUGCGUAGAUAUGCGGAGGAACACCGAUGGCGAAGGCAAUCCCCUGGACCUGUACUGACGCUCAUGCACGAAAGCGUGGGGAGCAAACAGGAUUAGAUACCCUGGUAGUCCACGCCCUAAACGAUGUCAACUGGUUGUUGGGUGCAUUAGUACUCAGUAACGAAGCUAACGCGUGAAGUUGACCGCCUGGGGAGUACGGCCGCAAGGUUGAACUCAAAGGAAUUGACGG
Molecule: ribosomal RNA, 584 nt
Filed under: uncultured bacterium
Lineage: Bacteria
Description: bacterial SSU rRNA
Rfam family: Bacterial small subunit ribosomal RNA
Source: RNAcentral